Molecule: ribosomal RNA, 493 nt
Filed under: uncultured bacterium
Lineage: Bacteria
Description: partial 16S ribosomal RNA
Rfam family: Bacterial small subunit ribosomal RNA
Source: RNAcentral
GACGAACGCUGGCGGCGUGCUUAACACAUGCAAGUCGAACGGAAAGGCCUGCUUUCCCUUGUGGAUUGCGGGUACUCGAGUGGCGAACGGGUGGGUAACACGUGAGUGAUCUGCCCCCAACUUGGGUAUAAGCCUGGGAAACUGGGUCUAAUUCCCGAUAGGACUGCAGGGUGGUGCCUGUGGUGGAAAACGAUUUUCUAGUGGUUGGGGAUGAGCUCGCGGCCUAUCAGCUUGUUGGUGGGGUAAUGGCCUACCAAGGCGGCGACGGGUAGCCGGCCUGAGAGGGUGGACGGCCACAUUGGGACUGAGAUACGGCCCAGACUCCUACGGGAGGCAGCAGUGGGGAAUAUUGCACAAUGGGCGGAAGCCUGAUGCAGCGACGCCGCGUGGGGGAUGACGGCCUUCGGGUUGUAAACUCCUUUCGACCGCGAGGAAGCCACCUGGUUGGAAGGGUGGUGACGGUAGUGGUAGAAGAAGCACCGGCUAACUACGU